This is an RNA transcript of Nycticebus coucang (slow loris), 1412 nucleotides long. It is a transcript of the gene named nucleolar protein 56-like, with no coding region annotated. The record is from RefSeq and is a predicted model, not a curated record. Lineage: Eukaryota; Metazoa; Chordata; Mammalia; Primates; Lorisidae. The transcript has 2 exons.
CAGCCCUGCGGACCCGGCUUGAUCCUGCCUGCGACUUUCCAGAACAAUUAGCUCGGGCCGGAGUGCUGUAGGUUGAUGCGGGAUCCGGAGGGGUGGCAUCGCGACCCCUCCCUCAGCCCGUUGGGCGGCUGGGGGCGGAGACGUGACCUGGCCCGCUAGCCGAUUGUUUGCAGGCGUAGUCAGGAGGACUCCCGGAGCUCGCCAGGGCUGUAGCCUACUUUCCCAGCAGUUCUCCGGGAGCCCAUGAGUCCGCAGCAGUGCCCAGGGCACCUCCUCCAGACCUCCGAGCUCUGAGGACUUUUUUCAAUUCUAGAAGUUUUUCUUUUUAAAAAUUUUGCUGUGUGGCCAAGUGUCAUGGCUCAUGCCUGUAAUACCAGCACUUUCGGAGGUCAAGAAGGAAGGAUCACUUGAGGCCAGGAGACUGAGACCAGCCUGUGCAACAUAAUAAGACUCUGUCUCUACCAAAAGAAAAAAAAAUCGGCAAUCUGGCCAGUCCUGGUGUCUGAGUGAUUCCCAGGGCCCAGCAAAGGACCAAGUUUCCAGAGCCCUGAAGACAAGGGGUAACACACCAAAAUAUGGACUCAUUUUCCACUCCACCUUCAUUGGCCGAGCAGCUGCCAAGAACAAAGGCCGAAUCUCCCGAUACCUGGCAAACAAAUGCAGUAUUGCCUCACGAAUCGAUUGCUUUUCUGAGGUACCCACGAGUGUAUUUGGGGAGAAGCUUCGGGAACAAGUUGAGGAGUAGCUGUCCUUUUAUAAGACUGGAGAGAUUCCACGAAAGAAUCUGGAUGUCAUGAAGGAAGCAAUGGUUCAGGCAGAGGAAGCGGCUGCUGAAAUCCCUAGGAAACUGGAGAAACAGGAGAAGAAACGCUUGAAGAAGGAAAAGAAAUGACUGGCUGCACUUGCCUUCACUUCUUCAGAAAACAGCAGUAGCACUCAGGAGAAGUGUGAGGAUACAGUGGAAAAACCCAAAAAGAAAAAAAAGCAAAAGCCCCAGGAGGUUCCUCAGGAGAAUGGAAUGGAAGACCACCCAUCUAUCCCUGUCUCUAAACCCAAGAAAAAGGAAUCUUUUUCCAAGGAGGAGUUGGUUAGUAGUGAUCUUGAGGAGGCCACUAGCAUUGUAAGUCCCCCCAAGAAGAAGAAAGCUUCACCCAAGGAGGAAAUAGUAGUUAGUGAUCCUGAAGAGGCAGGCAACAAGAGCAUGUCUAAGAAAAAGAGGAAAUUCUCCUCUAAGGAGGAGAUAGUCAGCAGCGGGCCGGAACAGGUUGUAGGCAUCAAAAGCAGCUUCAAGAAGAAAAAGUUCCACAAAGAUCCCCGGGAAGAUUAGAAUGGACAUUCCCUGUGAGGAAGGGGUAUCCCAUACCCCACAGAGACAUUUCCCACCCUGUGUCCCAUGCCUCAAUAAAAACAAA